CGGUGUUAUUGCUGGUCUUAAUGUGAUGCGUAUCAUCAACGAGCCAACAGCAGCUGCAAUUGCCUAUGGUCUUGACAAGAAGGCUACCAGUGUCGGUGAGAAGAAUGUGCUUAUCUUUGACCUUGGUGGUGGCACUUUUGAUGUCUCCCUCCUUACCAUUGAGGAGGGUAUUUUUGAGGUGAAGGCCACGGCUGGUGACACUCAUCUUGGUGGGGAGGACUUUGACAACCGUAUGGUGAACCACUUUGUCCAAGAGUUCAAGAGGAAGCACAAGAAGGAUAUCAGUGGAAACCCCAGGUCUUUGAGAAGGCUCAGGACUUCUUGUGAGAGGGCGAAGAGGACCCUUUCUUC
RNAcentral lists this long non-coding RNA (351 nucleotides) under Triticum aestivum (bread wheat). RNAcentral's name for it is "long non-coding RNA (TAES_LNC009375)". Lineage: Eukaryota; Viridiplantae; Streptophyta; Magnoliopsida; Poales; Poaceae. The record is from RNAcentral.